ACUCCUACGGGAGGCAGCAGUGGGGAAUAUUGCACAAUGGGGGAAACCCUGAUGCAGCCAUGCCGCGUGUGUGAAGAAGGCCUUCGGGUUGUAAAGCACUUUCAGUAGGGAGGAAGGUAGUGUAGUUAACACCUGCACUAUUUGUACGUUACCUACAGAAGAAGCACCGGCUAACUCCGUGCCAGCAGCCGCGGUAAGUACGGAGGGUGCGAGCGUUAAUCGGAAUUACUGGGCGUAAAGCGCAUGCAGGCGGCCUGUUAAGUCAGAUGUGAAAGCCCGGGGCUUAACCUCGGAAUUGCAUUUGAAACUGGCAGGCUAGAGUCUUGUAGAGGGGUUAGAAUUUCAGGUGUAGCGGUGAAAUGCGUAGAGAUCUGAAGGAAUACCGGUGG
RNAcentral lists this ribosomal RNA (389 nucleotides) under uncultured bacterium. Its description in RNAcentral is "bacterial SSU rRNA". It matches the Rfam family "Bacterial small subunit ribosomal RNA", at positions 335 to 715 of the family's 1533-position model. The record is from RNAcentral.